AGAGUUUGAUUAGGGCUCAGAUUGAACGCUGGCGGCAGGCUUAACACAUGCAAGUCGAGCGGCAGCGGAAAGAAGCUUGCUUCUUUGCCGGCGAGCGGCGGACGGGUGAGUAAUGUCUGGGGAUCUGCCCGAUGGAGGGGGAUAACUACUGGAAACGGUAGCUAAUACCGCAUAAUGUCGCAAGACCAAAGUGGGGGACCUUCGGGCCUCACACCAUCGGAUGAACCCAGAUGGGAUUAGCUAGUAGGUGGGGUAAUGGCUCACCUAGGCGACGAUCCCUAGCUGGUCUGAGAGGAUGACCAGCCACACUGGAACUGAGACACGGUCCAGACUCCUACGGGAGGCAGCAGUGGGGAAUAUUGCACAAUAGGGGAAACCCUGAUGCAGCCAUGCCGCGUGUGUGAAGAAGGCCUUCGGGUUGUAAAGCACUUUCAGCGGGGAGGAAGGCAAUGGCGUUAAUAGUGUCAUUGAUUGACGUUACCCGCAGAAGAAGCACCGGCUAACUCCGUGCCAGCAGCCGCGGUAAUACGGAGGGUGCGAGCGUUAAUCGGAAUUACUGGGCGUAAAGCGUACGCAGGCGGUCUGUUAAGUCAGAUGUGAAAUCCCCGGGCUUAACCUGGGAACUGCAUUUGAAACUGGCAGGCUAGAGUCUCGUAGAGGGGGGUAGAAUUCCAGGUGUAGCGGUGAAAUGCGUAGAGAUCUGGAGGAAUACCGGUGGCGAAGGCGGCCCCCUGGACGAAGACUGACGCUCAGGUACGAAAGCGUGGGGAGCAAACAGGAUUAGAUACCCUGGUAGUCCACGCUGUAAACGAUGUCGAUUUGAAGGUUGUGGUCUUGAGCCGUGGCUUUCGGAGCUAACGCGUUAAAUCGACCGCCUGGGGAGUACGGCCGCAA
This 894-nucleotide ribosomal RNA is filed under the name uncultured bacterium. RNAcentral's name for it is "bacterial SSU rRNA". It matches the Rfam family "Bacterial small subunit ribosomal RNA", at positions 8 to 891 of the family's 1533-position model. The record is from RNAcentral.